Rhinichthys klamathensis goyatoka is the source of this 869-nucleotide long non-coding RNA. RefSeq lists it as uncharacterized. The record is from RefSeq and is a predicted model, not a curated record. The transcript has 5 exons. Lineage: Eukaryota; Metazoa; Chordata; Actinopteri; Cypriniformes; Leuciscidae.
UCACAUUGUUCAGUUUAUCAACGAGGAGGAUCUGCCAUUUGCAGUGGUUCCGCAAGAGUGGCUCAGCGAGAGCAUGUGCCAUUGGCCCCCAUUUAACCUCACCAAAAAGACGAAGGCAACAAUUUAGCCAUCCUCUGCACACCUCCACACAGCACCUGGGAGAAACAUCAUUUUAAGUUCAUGAAGGGAGCAGAAUCUUGGAAGUCUCAAGAAAAAAAACUCUAGAAAGAUGCAUCGAUUCCAGAAAACCAGGAAAAUGCUGAACUGGUUUCUCCCCAGUAAUCCAGACUCCACUUCACAGAGCCAAGAGUUUGAGUACAACUUGGUGUAGGGGAUAAAGCAUGUUUUAGAGACAUGUUCCUGAAGACCAUUGUUCAAACCAUCCGGAAGGACCCGGCAACCCAGGAUGCACUGAUGAGGCGGUCCAGGUUAACGUUACGCGUUACCUGAAAGGAGCAUCUGACCGUGAAGGCAGAAAAAGGCGCCGCACAGCUGAGAGGGACCCACAGCCGACCACUUAAAACUAGACUGACUAUUGACACCCCAGAAUCACUGACAACUGGAAUCCUUUCUUUAUCUUGCAGUCAGUAGAAUCAAGACCCCUAAAGAAGUCAGAAGUGUCAGACUACACUCACUCACUGUGGAAAUUACUUUCUUUUUUUCUUUUUCAAAUAAAGCUUGUAAAUCCUUGUGCCACAGGUCAGCAUUGCCGUUAUAAUGGCCUAUUCUACUCCAGAGCUUUACUAUAAAUUACUACCACUUAUCAUAUUGUUAGAAAUGGCUUGUAAAUGUAGUUAUACUUUUAUUUAUUUGGUAUCUUGCACAUUAUUUGGUAUCAAAUAUCCUCUUUACUUGUCAUAAUGUUUACU